CCCACGAGCAAGCUAAAGCAAUAUUAAAGUCAUCACGACGGCUGUUUAUUUCUCUAAGAACAUUCCUAUGGAACACAGUAUUGAUUCUCAGCAUCAUAGCUAUAUGUGAGACCCUACUGUCCAUGACGAUUAAAAAAACCGUGUUUAUUAAAAUUCAGUCACAGUGGCACAACAUGACACGCAAUUAUAAACACAAAACAGAUGCAACACCAUCUUCACCAUAGUCAGCAGAGAUUGCAAUCUGCAAACCAGGGAAAUUUGUGUCCUUGAUUUAAUGGUUUAAAAUGCAGGAAAGCUGUUUACAUUCACUGUCAAAAUGUUUGCAUUACAUAUGCUCACUGCCCCUGUAGUGAAAAUAUUUCUCCACUAAGAUUGCAGAAUAAGCACAAAAUGAAGACGCACCCCUCUUAGUGGCAAAGAGCUGGCAUAAUGCAUUUCACCUCUCCUCAAACAUUUGUUAAGGGCUCAUCACGCUGCACUAUUUCUUCCCCUUGCCUUGGAUCAGCCUCUUGAGAAAUCAUUUAGCGUCACACACCCGUUCUCCACCCCCCACUAAUCAAAGAGCCUUUGCACAGUACUACAGACACUGCUUCCAUGUCUCAAAAGCACUAACAAUGCAGAUUUUUUUUUUUUUUUUGAUUGAAGUCCACUACAGCAGUUCUCCUUUAUCGCAAACUCAAGAUUACUCAACUGCAUUUGGAAAAGAUGCAGGCACUCUCCACGGCACACAUUUGGGAUUGAGUAGAUUCCAGGGGACUAUUCCCAAGAUAAAGCGCAUGUGCACACACAAAUCAAGGUCAUGGUAUCUUACACUGACUGUUGGCAGUGUUCGGACACUCUGAUUAAGCACUGAUCACAAAUAAAGCCAUUCUACAGGGCAGUGAGCUGAAUGCAAGUGAUGAUUCACAUGGAGCACCAACAAAAUUCAUGGAAUCAAGAAUUAUAGAAUAUCCCGAGUUGGAAGAGACCCACAAGGAUCAUUGAGUUCAACUUCUGGCUCCACACAGGACCACACAAAAAUCAGACCGUGUGUAUGAGAGCAGUGUCCAAACAGUACUUGAACUCCGGUAGCGUGGGGCCAUGACCACUGCCCUGGGGACUCUGUUCCAGGGCAUAUUCAUCCUCUGAUGAAGAACCUUUUCCUGAUAUCCAACCUGAACCUUCAGUAAAGCUGAACAAGUCUGAAUAAAAUGAAGAAAUGGGAGAACUGAAAGCAAAUCUGGCUGUGUACAAAGAGCAAAUGUGUAUGCCUGCUGCCUUCUGUGAUAGCUGGGAAGAGGACAGUGGUCAUUUAAAUAUACUCAUGGCAAUACUCAGGGCAUGAAGCCUAAGGCAAAGAAUGAAAUGAUUAACUCAAGUGCCAUUAAGUCAGAGUAUCCUACAUCUUAGAUGACAUGAAUCAAAGCUGUGGGAUUCAGACCUCUUCAAGACAGCUCGUGCCUCACAUAUACAACAGCUCUCACUGCCCGAGGCAUCUGACUCUUUCCCUGGCCAUCAAAGGCAGCUCCUUAUGAACCAGCUCCAGGACUUCUUUCUGGUCUUGUCUCUGCCCUUAUUAACACGAAGAAACAUUCAAAGAUGGGCUGCACACACUGCUGUUUGUUGUGGGCCACCAAAUGGCAUCGGAAGAGGGUACUGAUGCCUUUGAGGCACUCAGCAUGAAGUGCCAAGUAUGCUCCUAGCAUAUUACUGGAAGUACUGGAUGAUUUUUGUCUUCAGACCCAAAGAUACCUGUCAGCAAUGCAUAUUAGUAGGGCAGGGGGGAAAGGAAACUGUGUUUUAUUCCUUCCUAUUGCAAUACUUUGCUUUGUUUUUUAGUAUCUGAUUUACUGUUAACAUUAAGCCAGGAACAAAUGGAAAGCUCCUACAAAGAUUCAAAAGCUCCCUUCAAAACCUUUUCCUCCUUUCUGAUAUUCUUUGGAUGUAUUUUUCUAAACAGACAAUGUGUCAUACUUUUACAGUAUGCUUACUCGGGAUCUAAAUAUGCUUUCUCUAAAACCCCAGAUUAUUUAUUUAUUCGUAAUAAUUUUUUUCCAAAAUGCUUGGAGCACAUAAAGGGUCAUUGAUCUACUCAAGAAUGCACAGAAGUGUUUGUCAGAACCAUGAGAAUCUUUCCUGAUUUCUAUUACUUUGUCCUAAUCAGAACAGCAAUCUUUCUCUCUUAUCAAACAAACAGAGUAAGACACAUUUGUUUUUUAUCUGAAAAUAUGCUUCUAUGCACAGAGAGCAGAUAUAAUUUUUUAUCAUGUUUGCAUGAUGAAACUACACAGUUUUUGUCUUCUUUUUCUUCUGAUUUCAUAGGAGACUCUGAAACAAGUGUGUUAAACAUAGAAGGAUUUACAGCAACAUUGUCCUCUUUCUUGUGGGAAUAUUCUGUUACCAGCAUAUACAUAGGCAGAAUCUUCAGUAUAUCUUAAAAUCCAGCAAUGGAAGAUCCCAAGUUUAAAAUCUUACAGUUUCUCAGGUUUUUUAUUGAAGGGGAAAAAGAAAAUAAUAUUUAAAAAAAAGAGUAUUGCUGAGGUAAACCCAGCCACAAAUGUAUGACUCAGCCACUCAGUGUCACAUCUGUAUUCACAGUGCACACUGUGCAUGAAAGGCUCUCCAAGCAAUGGGGUCACACAUCCGAGUAUGGUAGCUGCUGAUCAACAGACACUACAUAGAGAAGUUAGGUUGCUGAUUUUACUGGAAUAGCAGUAUUACUGAAAGAUGUCAAUCUUUUUGGCCAGAAAAGGAUGAAGAAAUACAAUACAGUGCAGCUUAGACACAGUUAAUCUGCAAUUAAAGUGUUUUUAGUAGAAUAACACCCUGCUGGAAUUGCCCAUUUCAAUUGUUCCAUUGCUACAGUGAAAACUGCAACAAUUCCCCCUACAUGUAACACUGAGAAUUUUCUACUGCCUUUGUAUUGCUAAAUCAAUAAGAGAUAAGAUUUAUUCCUGGAACUGCUACAGAUAUUUUUGAAUUAUAAUUCUGUUCCACCUGGGAGAGAGCACAGAACAGAUUUCAGGUAUUUCCAAUACUAGUUGGGGCAGGAGACUUCAGGAACUGAGCACAAAAUCCAGUUUUUAUACAGUCCUACUCACUUUUUCUGCAACAAAUCCAAAAUACAGA
This is a long non-coding RNA of Gallus gallus (chicken), 3108 nucleotides long. Lineage: Eukaryota; Metazoa; Chordata; Aves; Galliformes; Phasianidae. The record is from Ensembl.